GAUGAACGCUGGCGGCGUGCCUAAUACAUGCAAGUCGAGCGAACGGACGAGAAGCUUGCUUCUCUGAUGUUAGCGGCGGACGGGUGAGUAACACGUGGAUAACCUGCCUAUAAGACUGGGAUAACUUCGGGAAACCGGAGCUAAUACCGGAUAAUAUUUUGAACCGCAUGGUUCAAAAGUGAAAGACGGUCUUGCUGUCACUUAUAGAUGGAUCCGCGCUGCAUUAGCUAGUUGGUAAGGUAACGGCUUACCAAGGCAACGAUGCAUAGCCGACCUGAGGGAGUGAUCGGCCACACUGGAACUGAGACACGGUCCAGACUCCUACGGGAGGCAGCAGUAGGGAAUCUUCCGCAAUGGGCGAAAGCCUGACGGAGCAACGCCGCGUGAGUGAUGAAGGUCUUCGGAUCGUAAAACUCUGUUAUUAGGGAAGAACAUAUGUGUAAGUAACUGUGCACAUCUUGACGGUACCUAAUCAGAAAGCCACGGCUAACUACGUG
This 497-nucleotide ribosomal RNA is filed under the name uncultured bacterium. RNAcentral's name for it is "partial 16S ribosomal RNA". It matches the Rfam family "Bacterial small subunit ribosomal RNA", at positions 28 to 507 of the family's 1533-position model. The record is from RNAcentral.